GACGAACGCUGGCGGCGUGCUUAACACAUGCAAGUCGAGCGGGAUCCAACCGGUGGCAACACCGGGGAAGAUCUAGCGGCGAACGGGUGAGUAACACGUGAGCAACCUGCCCCGAAGACUGGGAUAACACCGGGAAACCGGGUGCUAAUACCGGAUGUCGUCAUUAGGCCGCAUGACCUGAUGAUGAAAGGAUUCAUCGCUUCGGGA
This 207-nucleotide ribosomal RNA is filed under the name uncultured bacterium. RNAcentral's name for it is "partial 16S ribosomal RNA". It matches the Rfam family "Bacterial small subunit ribosomal RNA", at positions 28 to 225 of the family's 1533-position model. The record is from RNAcentral.